UGAAAGUCCAAGGGUUCCUGCUUAAAGCUAAUCUGAGCAGGGUAAGCCGGCCCCUAAGGCGAGGCCGAAAGGCGUAGUCGAUGGGAACCAGGUUAAUAUUCCUGGGCCAGGAGGAUGUGACGGAUCUCGAAGGUUGUCUGCCCUUAUCGGAUUGGGUGGGCUGCUCAGAGGUUCCUGGAAAUAGCCCUCCAUGAGACCGUACCCGAAACCGACACAGGUGGACUGGUAGAGUAUACCAAGGCGCUUGAGAGAACCACGUUAAAGGAACUCGGCAAAAUGCCUCCGUAAGUUCGCGAGAAGGAGGCCCCGUCUGUAGGCAACUAUGGGCGGGGGGCACAAACUAGGGGGUGGCGACUGUUUACUUAAAACACAGGGCUGUGCGAAGCCGUAAGGCGACGUAUACAGUCUGACGCCUGCCCGGUGCUGGAAGAUUAAGAGGAGGGGUGCAAGCUCUGAAUUGAAGUCCCAGUAAACGGCGGCCGUAACAAUAACGGUCCUAAGGUAGCGAAAUUCCUUGUCGGGUAAGUUCCGACCUGCACGAAUGGCGUAACGAUCUCCCCGCUGUCUCUAACGUGGACUCAGCGAAAUUGAACUGUGUGUCAAGAUGCACACUACCCGCGGUUAGACGGAAAGACCCCAUGAACCUUUACUCCAGCUUUGCAUUGGCAUCAGGAUUGUGAUGUGCAGGAUAGGUGGUAGGCAUUGAAGCGGGGACGCCAGUCUUCGUGGAGCCUCCCUUGAGAUACCACCCUUCGCACUCUUGAUGUCUAACCGCGGCCCGUUAUCCGGGUCCGGGACCCUGCAUGGUGGGGAGUUUGACUGGGGCGGUCGCCUCCCAAACAGUAACGGAGGCGCGCGAUGGUUGGCUCAGACCGGUCGGAAAUCGGUCGUUGAGUGCAAUGGCAGAAGCCAGCCUGACUGCAAGACUGACAAGUCGAGCAGAGACGAAAGUCGGUCAUAGUGAUCCGGUGGUCCCAAGUGGGGGGGCCAUCGCUCAACGGAUAAAAGGUACUCUGGGGAUAACAGGCUGAUGAUGCCCAAGAGUCCAUAUCGACGGCAUCGUUUGGCACCUCGAUGUCGGCUCAUCUCAUCCUGGGGCUGGAGCAGGUCCCAAGGGUACGGCUGUUCGCCGUUUAAAGAGGUACGUGAGCUGGGUUUAGAACGUCGUGAGACAGUUCGGUCCCUAUCUGCCGUGGGUGCAGGAGACUUGAGAAGAGUUGACCCUAGUACGAGAGGACCGGGUUGAACGAACCACUGGUGGACCAGUUAUCGUGCCAACGGUAGUGCUGGGUAGCUAUGUUCGGACAGGAUAACCGCUGAAGGCAUCUAAGCGGGAAGCCCCCUUCAAAACAAGGUCUCCCUUGAGGGCCGUGUAAGACGACCACGUCGAUAGGCCGGAGGUGCAAGCGCAGCAACGCGUUCAGCUGACCGGUACUAAUUGCCCU
RNAcentral lists this ribosomal RNA (1445 nucleotides) under metagenome. RNAcentral describes it as "bacterial LSU rRNA". It matches the Rfam family "Bacterial large subunit ribosomal RNA", at positions 1338 to 2911 of the family's 2925-position model. The record is from RNAcentral.